Molecule: ribosomal RNA, 460 nt
Filed under: uncultured bacterium
Lineage: Bacteria
Description: partial 16S ribosomal RNA
Rfam family: Bacterial small subunit ribosomal RNA
Source: RNAcentral
CCUACGGGAGACUGCAGUGAGGAAUAUUGGUCAAUGGACGAGAGUCUGAACCAGCCAAGUAGCGUGAAGGAUGACUGCCCUAUGGGUUGUAAACUUCUUUUAUAUGGGAAUAAAACGUUCCACGUGUGGCAUUUUGUAUGUACCAUAUGAAUAAGGAUCGGCUAACUCCGUGCCAGCAGCCGCGGUAAUACGGAGGAUCCGAGCGUUAUCCGGAUUUAUUGGGUUUAAAGGGAGCGUAGGUGGAUUGUUAAGUCAGUUGUGAAAGUUUGCGGCUCAACCGUAAAAUUGCAGUUGAAACUGGCAGUCUAGAGUACAGUAGAGGUGGGCGGAAUGCGUGGUGUAGCGGUGAAAUGCUUAGAGAUCACGAAGAACUCCGAUUGCGAAGGCAGCUCACUAGACUGCAACUGACGCUGAGGCUCGAAAGUGUGGGUAGCAAACAGGAUUAGAUACCCUGGUAGUC